UGUUAUUUGUAAUAUGGACAAGGUUGUUCUUUGUUAUCCAUCUCUUACACAAUUCAACGAACAUUUUAUGCGAUGUUCAUGUUCUUGGAGUAAUAGUGUAAAUAUGGUAAUGGGUGGCUAAACAUGUCUGAGAGAUAGUUAACGUCUUCCUUAAUUUUAAUGCAUUCUUGAAGUUAUUUUUAGUUGGAGUUGCAAAGAAGAAGAAGAUAGUGAAUGGUCCAAUUCUAGGUUUGCCCUUAGUUACACUUAUCUUAGUUAUGUUCCUAGAGGAAUAUACUAUGUACAGUUGCAAGAGCAACCUCUAACAAUCAUAUUCCUAGAUGGUUACUCCAGUCGAGUUGCAAGGGCAAACCGUAAAGCAUAUUUAUGUAGUAGGACAAAGAGUAAAGAAAUUGAAUUAUGUAAUGUUGAUCAGCUCGUUCCUGGGCAGGUAAACUUAUACUUUUUUAUGUUUAGGACUAAAUUAUACUUUUUGAUCUAUUUUACUAAUUGGGCAGGUAAAUUUGAGUGUUGCAAUUA
This 519-nucleotide unclassified non-coding RNA is filed under the name Hevea brasiliensis (rubber tree). The record is from RNAcentral. Lineage: Eukaryota; Viridiplantae; Streptophyta; Magnoliopsida; Malpighiales; Euphorbiaceae.